Crucibulum laeve is the source of this 100-nucleotide non-coding RNA. NCBI's taxonomy places the organism in Eukaryota, Fungi, Basidiomycota, Agaricomycetes, Agaricales, Nidulariaceae. The record is from the annotation of a GenBank genome assembly.
GGGCGUUUAGCGCAGUGGUAGCGCGUAUGCUUUGCAAGGUCUUGGGCAGCCAAAUCCUCUCGUGUGUAUAAGGUCCAGGGUUCAAUCCCCUGAACGUCCA